This 1544-nucleotide long non-coding RNA is filed under the name Linum usitatissimum (flax). Its description in RNAcentral is "long non-coding RNA (LUSI_LNC006784)". The record is from RNAcentral. Lineage: Eukaryota; Viridiplantae; Streptophyta; Magnoliopsida; Malpighiales; Linaceae.
AUGGACCUUUAUUUAUGUUAGUUGUAUUUGUGUAGUUCUACUUUGUUAGUUUUGUUUUUUUAUCAUGUUAUGAGUUCGGAGUUCUUCACCACACUUAGCAUCGAAAAGUACAUUUUCAUCUCUUCGAAGACAAUCUCCAUUAGACUUGGAGAGAGGUAUCACAGCAUCUCGACGGACGAGUUUGGAGUUCUCCUUGGAUAAUACACCACAGAAGAGGCCGAGAGCGGAACACUUUCUGAGCUUGUCACGGUUAAUAGCUUGGAGAUGUCAGAUGAGCACGAGAUUUGGCCUGGGAUUGUCAGGACUUCUGAUAUCUUUGCUCCCGGCACUCGAAGGCCCUCUUGAUGCAUAAGCCAAUGCUGAGGCUUAUUCACUUGUUUGGACGACACAGUUUCGGGCACCGGUCUUCCAAGGCCUUGGGAGCGAUCAUAAAGAGGGACUUCUUUAUCUUCUACUGCUUGGAGAAGAGGAUUCAGAUACACCUUGGGAACUGAUUGCUACUCUCUUCAAGCAAUUAAAGUCCCUCUCUUGCCAUUCGAUGCUAUGGUGGGAGCUUUGUGACCUUGCUGCUUCAGAACACAGGGGUGCUUCAUAUAUUUAACGAGCCACCGAUCUGAUUUGCUCCCUUCGACUGCUGGCUCAAGGAGCUGAUCAGGAAUGGGGUGUCUGACCUCUUAGAUGAGGAGGUCAACCCCACAACCCUGGUUCCAAGUGAGGCAGCUACUGCUUCUGAUUUGGCUGCCAUUCACACUUCUCUUGAGCAGUUGUCUCUUCAGCAGCAGGAGAGUGAGGAGAGCAGGAGGCACGAGGCGAUGACAACUGCAGCUUAUAGAGAGACAAGCCAUCAGCAAUUUGGAUACCUAAGGGAUGGUCUAAGAGAGCUCAGAGAUGAGAUCAGAGCUGCGAGGGAUGACUUCAACACUCAUAGAGGAGACACUGUGAGUGCCUUCUAGCACCUUGGAGAGCAGAUAUAGAUAGUGCAGACGGAGACGCACUAAAUCUAGCAGACGCCGGAUUGGCAGACUGGCCACAUGGCGUAUUAUCAGGACGCGUACUCUGGAUUCCUCAACACUACUCCAGACUACCCACCUCCUCCUCAACACCACUUCCAGGACGCGGGAGCAGCACACCCAGGGUAUUACUACCACCAGUUCGAGCAGGUUGACUACUACGAGUACUACCUGCACACUCCGUUCUACCAGCCACCACCGCCACCACCACUAGAGGAGUGACUCUUGCAGGAUUUCUCUUUUCCUCAGACUCUUUCAUUUCUUUGUGUUUGUUAGACUUGUGUGUGUUGUGUUGUCAUUGUGGAUUGUUUGUUAUUUCGGAUGCAUAUUUUGAGAUUGUGGAGUCCUUGACUAUUAUGGUGUAUUAUUUUCCGUAUUUCUUCUUUUUAUCUUAGUCAUUUUAUGAUGAUUCUAGGUGCUCGACCCCGAUCCUUCAUUUUCUUUUGGUCCGGCUUCGCUCCUCUCUCCGUUUGAUAUCCCUUGUCCCUUUAUCUGUUUUCAUAUUGAGAAUAAUGUGUUGUGCAAGUGUUGGGU